This 2233-nucleotide long non-coding RNA is filed under the name Homo sapiens (human). RNAcentral's name for it is "HSALNT0236329". Lineage: Eukaryota; Metazoa; Chordata; Mammalia; Primates; Hominidae. The record is from RNAcentral.
GUUGGGUGGGUGUCCAAAAUCUGCUGCACCAGGUGUUCUACAGAGAACUCUUCUGUUCCAUUCCCGCAGCUCCACUUGAUGCCAUGAACUAGAGAAGUUAGGGGGAAGUGCUGUGGGAUCCCCACGAAACAGGCCCCAGAGUACCUUGAUGGCUCCUCCAAGCACCUGACAUGCUUCAAGACUUCUGGCCAGACGCUGCCAACUCCAUCCCCCAGGGAUUGUGAAGGGGGUUCCUUCUGGCUGUGACAGUGCUGAACGAGGCCAGAGAGUGCAGCUGCCUGGAGGCACAAGCCUCCUCCUGAUCCAGGGGGCUCCAGGGAGACCAAAGCAGCUGUCAAGAUGAGAGAAAUUGAAAAAGAAAAUGGAAAACUCUCCAGCCUGGCUCUCAGCUUCUGCAUCUCCAUGCAAGACCAGAGACCCACAUCACUCCCUCACUCCACCCAGUUCCACUCCAACAAUACCUGGGCCCUGCCAGGAGUGAGAAAACGGUCCUCUUCCUGUGGAUAGGUUGCUCUCUCCUCUUCCAGAUCAGGGUAUUCAUUGGUGCUGGGGAAUCCACAGCCCUCUUCGCCAAGCACCACUGGCUCAGAUGCAGCCCCAGAGCUGCCCCACUGGGCCUUCUUCAGUCUGUGGAGACUUUAGGCUGAGGAGAGAAGUGCCUGGAGGCCAGGCUUCCUGUCUCUCCAUUCUUCACCUUUCUGUUCUGAAAUACUUCCUGCUGGGACUCCAGGGAGUUGUCAUUUGACCUUUAACCCUCCACUCCCAAUUUUCUGCUCCCCUCAGACUGAAGCAUAUUGUCUAGGAACCCAGAGGUGACCCCAACCUCCCCACUGUCCUCCAGUUCUAUGGUUUGCUUUCCUGUCUUCAGUGAUCUAGUUUCCACUCCUUCCAGCUCAUGUGGCUCAUCCUCCUUACUGCAGUUCCCUCCUUCUUUCCAUAUUACAGAAAUCUGUUUCAAUCACACCAAAGCCCACAGCUUCCUUCCAAGCAACCUCCCCUCAAAGCUCCCCUCAAACCUCCCCUCAAAGCUGUCAACCCCUUCCUUAGCUCAAACUGUUCUGCCCCCAAAUCCUGCAUGACUCCCAGAACCCAGAUGUCUCCCUUCCUUACUCGUUGAUGAUGCUCUGACGCCUUCUUAGGUCCUCCAGGUGGUAAGUGACAGCCCUCACCCGGGCGGGGACUCCCCCAAGGCCCUGCUGCUGCAUUCCUUCCAAACAUGGCCUCCUCUUCUUUCUUCUCCAAAGCAUUUCAGGGGGUGGGAGCUGCUCAGGAGGAUACAGACCAAGCUGGGAGCAACCAGUGGCUCUCUGUGCCAGAGAAUGGGGAAAAAGAGCUAGAAAGAAGAACUGGCUCUCUCAAGGGAGCUUGGAUUGAACUAGGUAGGGAGUCUGGGGUCUUGGGAAGACCCCUGUGAUCUCGAAAACAUGAUGACUGAUUCAUAGAAAGGAAGGCCUGGUCAGUGCACUGGUUGGGGAAUAACAGAGGGAAGCGGUAAUAAGGAGAGCUUGGGACAGGACAGCAGUGGGUGCAAUUUUAACAGAGAAAUGUUAAACGGCAGAGGGUCUGUCUUACCAGCAUGGGUGGAAUGUGCUGCUCCUCCAGCCAAGUGGGGCUGUGAAGAACAAAAAGGGGGCUAUAAGUGCAGAGGGGACAUGUCCAUCCAUAUUGCUUCUUUAAUAAUCUCUCCCGACCUCCUUUCUGUCAUUAGGAGCUACAAUGUCCACCAGCCAGUGGGAAAUUAACCGCAGACUAGGGCCUAUUGCUAUAUGGGUUUAUGGUAGUUUAAUCCAGUUAAGACCACAUCCAGUUAGUUUCCAUUUUCUCCUCUACUCACGUGGGCCUUUGAUUAAGGUUCUUCCAGAAGACAUCUCCAUAACGCUGGGGCAUGGGUCUGAGGCUCUGGGAAGGCAACCUUGGGGGUGGAGAUCGGCUGACCACCCUGGAACACCUGAGGUGAGGACAAGGUAGGCUCGGGUCUGGCUCUUCCCUUACAGCAGUCUACUCAUCCCAAGGAUUCAGGGGCCAUCUUUCCAUGGGACUAUAAAGCUGCCCAGGUUCCCUCGGGCCAUGUCCUCUCUUAACCACUUUAGCUGAAGAAGGUGGUAAGGCCUCUGCUUUGAAAGGAAAUUGAAGCUGGGUUGAGGGUGGAGAUUGGCUAUAGUUUGACCCUCAGAUCUCACUGAGUUUAAGCUCUAUAUCGGGGAUGUCCAAUCUUUUGGCUUCCUGGGCCACA